GGUCAAGGUGCUAUAGAAUGUCCUGGAUGUAAGGGUACAGGAAAGAAUAAAAAGAAUGGGAAUAUCUUUGAGCGGUGGAAAUGCUUUGAUUGCCAAGGAUUUGGAUUGAAGAGUUGCCCUGUUUGUGGUAAAGGGGGCCUCACACCAGAACAACGGGGUGAAAGAUGAUGUCCCAGUGUAAGGAAGCUGACAUGGUACUCAACUCAAGUACUAUUGAUUUUGUACAUGAAGCUCUAUGAAAAUAUGAACUUUGGCUAGGAAAGCGUGUUUGUAUAAAGGUGAUAUGACAAGAAAUUCAAUUCAAGUUUUAUUUUACUUUUUGUGGAUUUUCUUGCAAGUGACUAUUACACACUUGUUGAUACAGAUUACAGAAGACUUUCCAUGUAAAUGAAUUCACUUACAUCUGUCCAACAAAUAAAAAAAAAAAUUAUUUACCCGCU
This is a long non-coding RNA of Coffea eugenioides, 440 nucleotides long. RefSeq lists it as uncharacterized. Lineage: Eukaryota; Viridiplantae; Streptophyta; Magnoliopsida; Gentianales; Rubiaceae. The record is from RefSeq and is a predicted model, not a curated record. The transcript has 3 exons.